UCCAGGUACAACGUCGACUAAAUCUAUCUCUGUAAAUAUUGCCAAUGUUAAAUUUGAUAUUAACAGAGAUGGCCAACAGGAGAUUGAUGUUACAAUAUGUAAAAGUAACUUUAUAUGCGACAAUGUUUGAAGGAGGAAAAAAUACAAAUACAGCAAAGACAGCUGAAAAUACAGCUUCGUCGAUCUCAGAAAAUAGAAAUAAAUUUCGAAGAAUUGAAGGUGAUGAUGCAAAGACCGAUGUAAAGCAAGAUUCAGAGAAUCUGAAGAAAGACUCAAUGCCAGAAUUUCCAGCGAUUAAGACUUCUAGUACAAUAGUAGAUACAUUACAUAUUUCCAACGCUUUUAAUGCUCUAACAUUGUCAAAUAAUAAAUACGUAAAAACUGCACAAACACUUGAACCAGUUUCACGUGCAUGCCAAGAAGAAUGGACCGAUAAAUGGAAUAACCUUGAAUUUCCAGCUCCCAAAUCGUCAAUUUUAACACCAGUUACUUUUAGUUUAUCUAAAAAACAAUAUUCAUUUGGUGACACAAGUACGAGUCAGUUUCUUGGUUCUCCAACGUCAGAAAGUAAAGAGUCAGCGCGUGAUAACGCAGAGGGUAGAUCUACGCCUUUCUGUUGGAAAGCAACAACGACAACAACAUUAUCAAGUCCAGCAUUCCAAGUACCUACUGCAGCACAAACUUUGCAUAAAUCUGGAACAUCCAAAUCAUCAAUUUUAAAACCACCUACUUUUAAUUUAUCUAAAAAACAAUAUUCAUUUGGUGACACAAGUACGAGCCAGUUUCUUUGUUCUCCAACGUCAAAAAGUUAAGAGUCAGCGUGUGAUAACGCAGAAAGUAGAUCUACGCCUUUCUGGUGGAAAUCAACAACGACAACAACAUUAUCAAGUCCAGCAUUCCAAGUACCUAAUGCAUCACAAACUUUGCAUAAUUCUGGAACACCCGAAUCAUCGAUUUUGGUACCAACUACUUUUAGUUUAUCUAAUAAACAAUGUGAAUUUGGUGGCGCAAUUUCACGUAAAUCUUGCACUUCUCCGGUGCUAGAAAAUAAACCUGCAGCUUGCGAUUCAACACCAACAAACCAAAAAGAAACAACAUAUAAUACAACACUCGGGAUGCCAACUGUACGUGGCACAUUGUCAGUGAAAUCAGUAGUAUCUGGUGAUAGUACUGUUAGAACGUCUACCGGCGAGUCAACGUCUCUUAUACGUGUACAUCAAAAAUUUAUAUUUAACGCCAUUUCUACUGAACCGGCUGUAAUGCCUGGGACUCGAUUCAAUUUUCCUACGAAUAUGAUACCUCCUGUAUCGACUCAGAUUCAAAUAUCGAUUGAUUCCACCGAUUAUACAUUUAACGGACCUAAUCCGGAACUAGCAGCAUUUCCGCAAUGUCCAACUACAAGUUCAUUUUCUAUAUCGCAACCUGUUACCCAAAGUCAACAAUUGUCUACUUCAUCAUCUAUUCCUCUAGAAUGCGCGUUUAAUUUUGAUUCGUCACCAGGAGAUCAUACAGCUGAACCUGGUUCAAUCCAGUCCGAAGGAUUUAAUUUUAAUCCCAAUACUAGACCAUCGUUCCGUUUUAGUGUUUAUGAAUUUAAGUAUCUACAAAAUAUAAAAUUAUUUUACACAUUAAUAGCAGGAUCUUUUUUCCAUAAAAAAAUGUGUUGCCAUGUGUUGUUUUAGUGCACCUACUCAAGUACAACGAGAUACUGCGUCUACUCGAGUACAACGAAAUACUGCGUCUACUCUAGUACAACAAAAUACUGCCACCAUCAAUUACCGCCCAAUGAUCAGUCCCACUCGAUUACUCAAUCCACGAAAGAUCAGGAAAGCUUUUAGAAGAUUAAAAUAGGAGUCAAGUAACGGCAUUCUUUUUAUACAGUUGCUCAUGAAGGUAUUCAUAUUCUUGCAGAAGACACCUUUUAUGAAUAUACUAUAUGUCUUGAAAGAAACAUUUUGAAAUGUCAUUAGUAUUGUAACAAAAUCCGAUUGUCAUAGCUAUAUUGGUAAAGUUUUUAGCAAAUCUGAAAAUAUACAUAGAUAUUACAAAACACCUAACACAAGUAUGCAGAUAUUUUGUAGAAAUCAAUAAAGUAUUUAAACAGUCAUUUAACAUUUCAUCAAACAUUUUACAUAUGUAUGAAAUAAGCCUAAAUAUUUACUGGAACCACUUUUGAGAUUUUUUCUAGGCAUACCAAGGAGGCUAUUAAUGCUGUGUGCUAAUCUUUAUUAAAUAUAUGUUUGUAAAUAACUUUUAUGUAUAUUUUCAGAUUGGUUUUUGGCUUUUCUAUCAUAAAAAUAGUAGUUGCAAAAUACUUUUAUGAGCCAUUGUAUCUAUUUCAUACAAUCGUGAGAAAACAAGUCGAAGACGCUUCGUUUUCGAAGAAAAAAGAAAAAAGAAAAAAGAAACGAUUUUGAACAUUUUCUCGAUGCUGCUAUACGCACAUACUCUUUAUGAUAUAUCAAUUCUUGGAUCAAUAACGAACUUUCAUUAUUGAUGAGCUGCUGCUAGUGGAUGAGGAAACUUAAUAAAAUAUCGAAUGUCUGCAAUUUAUUGAGAAUAACGAGUUUAUGUGGGUAACAGAUAUAUCCUUUCAUUAAGCAUAGGUCUUAUAUAACUCGUUUAUAGUUGAGAAGGAAAAUACUAAUCAGUACUAAUUAAAUUCAUGAAUUAAUAACUUUUUUUUUGUAACGAAAGAAAUGUUGCGAUGCAUAAUGUACAAUGUAUUGAAUUUGCUUCAUACAUUUAAUUGAUUCUGAACAAUUAUCUUUGCUUCAUUAUUUUUGAAUAAAUUCAGUAUUUACAACUUAAUAAUUGUAAUAAAAUUAUAUCAUUCAGAUAAUAAGAAAACGCGUAAUAAUAAUUAUUACGAUGCAAAAAAAAAUAAUAAUAAUAAUAAG
Bombus pascuorum is the source of this 2900-nucleotide RNA transcript. RefSeq lists it as uncharacterized. The transcript is spliced from 2 exons. The record is from RefSeq and is a predicted model, not a curated record. NCBI's taxonomy places the organism in Eukaryota, Metazoa, Arthropoda, Insecta, Hymenoptera, Apidae.